ACAGGAUUAGAUACCCUGGUAGUCCACGCCGUAAACGGUGGGCGCUAGUUGUGCGAACCUUCCACGGUUUGUGCGACGCAGCUAACGCAUUAAGCGCCCCGCCUGGGGAGUACGAUCGCAAGAUUAAAACUCAAAGGAAUUGACGGGGCCCCGCACAAGCAGCGGAGCAUGCGGCUUAAUUCGACGCAACGCGAAGAACCUUACCAAGGCUUGACAUAUACAGGAAUACGGCAGAGAUGUCGUAUCCGCAAGGUCGGUAUACAGGUGGUGCAUGGUUGUCGUCAGCUCGUGUCGUGAGAUGUUGGGUUAAGUCCCGCAACGAGCGCAACCCUCGUUCUGUGUUGCCAGCAUUUAGUUGGGGACUCACAGGAGACUGCCGGGGUUAACUCGGAGGAAGGUGGGGAUGACGUCAAAUCAUCAUGCCCCUUAUGUCUUGGGCUGCACGCAUGCUACAAUGGCUGGUACAGACGGCUGCAAUACCGCAAGGUGGAGCGAAUCCGAGAAAGCCAGUCUCAGUUCGGAUUGGGGUCUGCAACUCGACCCCAUGAAGUCGGAGUUGCUAGUAAUCGUAGAUCAGCAACGCUACGGUGAAUACGUUCCCGGGGCUUGUACACACCGCCCGUCACAUCACGAAAGUCGGUAACACCCA
RNAcentral lists this ribosomal RNA (649 nucleotides) under uncultured Actinomycetes bacterium. Its description in RNAcentral is "bacterial SSU rRNA". It matches the Rfam family "Bacterial small subunit ribosomal RNA", at positions 772 to 1423 of the family's 1533-position model. The record is from RNAcentral. Lineage: Bacteria; Bacillati; Actinomycetota; Actinomycetes.